CUCUUCUUCUGUUUUCUUCAGGGGGACCCGGCAGCCCGACCACAAUUGCCAGAGGAGGGACCCCAGAAGGUCCUGAGGGCUUGACAGCAGCACCCGGCAGUGAGAGCACACGUGGAGACCUCGGCGCCCCAGGCACGACCUUGGGAGGCAGAGCAGGAACCACUCUAGGUCUUCGGAGUGAACCUUCUGGGACAGGUGUUGGCGGGAGUCCGUUUGCCACGACCCUGGAAGCUGGCAGCGUGGGCAGGACCUCAGGAGGCCCCGGCUUCACCAGUCCUGGGCGCGGAGCAGGUGAGUGGAGUUCAGAAGCCAGGGUCGCCUCCACCCACGCCAAAGCGACCGGCAUGGGGCCACGCUGCUGAUCACGAUCACGGUUGACAAGCCAAGGACACGUGAGCCCUUGGCUGGAGACUUGUGGGCCCUGAGAGACUCUGGCAGCAGGUGUGUACCUCUGCAUCAUGGUCCAGAGAGGCAACGUGGGACGGGACCGCUCCUGGGGAUUGAUGCCCUAAGGCGGGGCCGGCCGUGGUCUUGCUGGGUUGGG
RNAcentral lists this long non-coding RNA (544 nucleotides) under Vulpes vulpes (red fox). RNAcentral's name for it is "lncRNA (ENSVVUG00000016654.1)". The record is from RNAcentral. Lineage: Eukaryota; Metazoa; Chordata; Mammalia; Carnivora; Canidae.